RNAcentral lists this long non-coding RNA (239 nucleotides) under Brassica napus (rape). RNAcentral describes it as "long non-coding RNA (BNAP_LNC010290)". Lineage: Eukaryota; Viridiplantae; Streptophyta; Magnoliopsida; Brassicales; Brassicaceae. The record is from RNAcentral.
GGACAGAGCUUCUGCGUCACAAUCGUAAAGAAUCAACGAUUGGACGGAACUGGCCGUCUCGGUGGAGUAUCGGUCUUCAGAAUCGACGAUACUCUACAUCGACCACUUUCUCUCUCUCUCUCUCUCUCUCUAUAGCCACGCUGACUUGAUUCCCAUCUGAGCUGAUCUUCAUUUGAUUGAACUUCAGUUGGACAAAACCUUCCCUAGGCGCUGAUUCGAAAUCAGUAGAGAACUGGCCU